RNAcentral lists this ribosomal RNA (468 nucleotides) under uncultured bacterium. RNAcentral's name for it is "partial 16S ribosomal RNA". It matches the Rfam family "Bacterial small subunit ribosomal RNA", at positions 28 to 507 of the family's 1533-position model. The record is from RNAcentral.
GACGAACGCUGGCGGCGUGCUUAACACAUGCAAGUCGAACGGAAAGGCCCUGCUUUUGUGGGGUGCUCGAGUGGCGAACGGGUGAGUAACACGUGAGUAACCUGCCCUUGACUUUGGGAUAACUUCAGGAAACUGGGGCUAAUACCGGAUAGGAGCUCCUGCUGCAUGGUGGGGGUUGGAAAGUUUCGGCGGUUGGGGAUGGACUCGCGGCUUAUCAGCUUGUUGGUGGGGUAGUGGCUUACCAAGGCUUUGACGGGUAGCCGGCCUGAGAGGGUGACCGGCCACAUUGGGACUGAGAUACGGCCCAGACUCCUACGUGAGACAGCAGUGGGGAAUAUUGCACAAUGGGCGGAAGCCUGAUGCAGCAACGCCGCGUGCGGGAUGACGGCCUUCGGGUUGUAAACCGCUUUCGCCUGUGACGAAGCGUGAGUGACGGUAAUGGGUAAAGAAGCACCGGCUAACUACGUG